RNAcentral lists this ribosomal RNA (398 nucleotides) under uncultured bacterium. Its description in RNAcentral is "partial 16S ribosomal RNA". It matches the Rfam family "Bacterial small subunit ribosomal RNA", at positions 523 to 918 of the family's 1533-position model. The record is from RNAcentral.
AUACGUAGGGCGCGAGCGUUGUCCGGAAUUACUGGGCGUAAAGAGCUCGUAGGUGGUUUGUCGCGUCGUCUGUGAAAUUCCGGGGCUUAACUCCGGGCGUGCAGGCGAUACGGGCAUAACUUGAGUACUGUAGGGGAGACUGGAAUUCCUGGGGUAGCGGUGAAAUGCGCAGAUAUCAGGAGGAACACCGGCGGCGAAGGCGGGUCUCUGGGCAGUAACUGACGCUGAGGAGCGAAAGCAUGGGUAGCGAACAGGAUUAGAUACCCUGGUAGUCCGUGCCGUAAACGGUGGGCGCUAGGUGUAGGGGUCUUCCACGACUUCUGUGCCGUAGCUAACGCAUUAAGCGCCCCGCCUGGGGGGUACGGCCGCAAGGCUAAAACUCAAAUGAAUUGACGGGG